AUAUGAAGCGAUGUUCUAUUCCAUGACUUUCACAGAAUUUGUGGAGUCGAGCAUCACUAAAUUGUCUGUCAUUAUCUGUAAUCAGUAUUUUGAGAAGAUCAUAUUGACAGAUAAUAAAUUUUCAAAUAAAGUUCUUCACUCUUACUUCAGUUAUACGGACCAGAGACUCGGCUUCAACCCAUUUUAUGAAGUAAUCGAUAGCCA
This 204-nucleotide long non-coding RNA is filed under the name Elaeis guineensis (African oil palm). Its description in RNAcentral is "long non-coding RNA (EGUI_LNC003458)". Lineage: Eukaryota; Viridiplantae; Streptophyta; Magnoliopsida; Arecales; Arecaceae. The record is from RNAcentral.